AUAAACAUAUUAAUGCUUUGUAAAAAGUUAGAAGCUUUUUUAAACAUAUUUCUUU
Molecule: transfer RNA, 55 nt
Filed under: Microtrichalus sp. A00194
Lineage: Eukaryota; Metazoa; Arthropoda; Insecta; Coleoptera; Lycidae
Also listed under: 6 other names
Description: partial tRNA-Ser
Source: RNAcentral